GAUGAACGCUGGCGGCGUGCCUAAUACAUGCAAGUCGAGCGAACGGACGAGAAGCUUGCUUCUCCGAUGUUAGCGGCGGACGGGUGAGUAACACGUGGAUAACCUACCUAUAAGACUGGGAUAACUUCGGGAAACCGGAGCUAAUACCGGAUAAUAUUUUGAACCGCAUGGUUCAAUAGUGAAAGACGGUCUUGCUGUCACUUAUAGAUGGAUCCGCGCUGCAUUAGCUAGUUGGUAAGGUAACGGCUUACCAAGGCAACGAUGCGUAGCCGACCUGAGAGGGUGAUCGGCCACACUGGAACUGAGACACGGUCCAGACUCCUACGGGAGGCAGCAGUAGGGAAUCUUCCGCAAUGGGCGAAAGCCUGACGGAGCAACGCCGCGUGAGUGAUGAAGGUCUUCGGAUCGUAAAACUCUGUUAUUAGGGAAGAACAAAUGUGUAAGUAACUGUGCACAUCUUGACGGUACCUAAUCAGAAAGCCACGGCUAACUACGUG
This 497-nucleotide ribosomal RNA is filed under the name uncultured bacterium. RNAcentral describes it as "partial 16S ribosomal RNA". It matches the Rfam family "Bacterial small subunit ribosomal RNA", at positions 28 to 507 of the family's 1533-position model. The record is from RNAcentral.